UCUCUCUCUCUCUCUCUUCCCCUUUCUUUUAAACUACAUAUUUUGUGUCUAAGGCUUCUAAAGUGUAGGUGAAUUAGAUACCAUGAGCAUCCAAUCUAAAGAAUCAAUCAUUAUUUCCAAAAAAUGGUUGAACCAAAAUGGUAGAUUCUUGUGACAGGGCUAAGCACACUUCAAGAAUCGACCACAAUGUCCUAUUGAAUGUGAUCUCAAGCCAUAUUUAGCAAAGCUUCUCAAAAAGAAAGAAGUGUAGUCCAGAGAGCAAUACUCUUCCAAAGGGUCACAGAAGUGGGCAUCUACCAUAUCUCAGUAAGAAUUUGCCAAAGCAUCAUGUCCUACAAUCAUUUUCUGAUUCCAUAUGGAAAUUCCAGUAGUAAAUCAAUUUAACCGAUCUAAUUAUUUUUAAUGAAUGCGCUUUUCAAAAAUUCAGAAGAAACUAUAGUAACAAACUACGCUACUGAUAUUUAUUUGAAAAACAAUUCCAUCAAAGGCGCUUGCUUCCAACUUCUGAGGUAAAAGUACAUGUUCACUUUAUCAUCUCAAAAGUUACAUGAAUCACGGCAAAACACCAU
This 569-nucleotide unclassified non-coding RNA is filed under the name Hevea brasiliensis (rubber tree). Lineage: Eukaryota; Viridiplantae; Streptophyta; Magnoliopsida; Malpighiales; Euphorbiaceae. The record is from RNAcentral.